AGGUGGGAAGCAGGGCA
Molecule: unclassified non-coding RNA, 17 nt
Filed under: Mus musculus (house mouse)
Lineage: Eukaryota; Metazoa; Chordata; Mammalia; Rodentia; Muridae
Description: oocyte_clustered_small_RNA8141
Source: RNAcentral